Molecule: long non-coding RNA, 3240 nt
Filed under: Lactuca sativa (garden lettuce)
Lineage: Eukaryota; Viridiplantae; Streptophyta; Magnoliopsida; Asterales; Asteraceae
Description: long non-coding RNA (LSAT_LNC009463)
Source: RNAcentral
AUUGAACCUCAGCCACAUAUUUCUUACUUGCCGCUCUAACGCUCCAUCAUACCGACAACAGCGGACUAUGCCUAAUCAUAAAUGAUUAUAUGGCAGAGAGAUAUAAUCAUAUAUGAUUAUGCAUGUUUAUACAUAUAUGUUUAUUCAUAAACUAGAAGCGAUCCCCCCGCGUUGCAGGGGUUGGAAGGUAUCGCUUUUGUGUGAAAGCAUAAUACAUUGCCUUAAUUGGUAGCCACAGUAAAGUAUGUUGCUAUUCUCUGCAAUUCAUCCAUUUAUAAAUGCAUAAUAGUCAAAGUACAAUGGCAAGGANUAUAUAUCGACACCGUUUUUGGUUACACAUAGAUACGCUUUUCUCAAAAGGAGCGGAUUGAAAUUCUUGAUCAAUGCUUCUAGCACUUUUGAGAAACCUAUAAAUUAGAGGAAAAGUGUUGUUGUUGAUAAUAAGAAUAAUAAUAAUUAUAAGAAUAUAUACUUUAAGUACAUUGCUAUUUCUUACAAAAUGCAAAACAAAAAUCAUAUAAAAAUUGAAUUUUUGCUUACAUAAGGUCAGCAUUACAUAGUCCCUUUUCUAUAGAACAUUGUACAUGACCUACUUUCCAUGAGUAAAUCCUUUAGUAGCAGCCUAGUUUUCCGGUUGUUAUAACAUCCUACCUUUUUAAGAAACAAAAUGAUUAAUGAAUGAUAGCCACCAACAUCCAUCACAACUUACAAUUACAUGGCCAUUGAAAGCAAAACAAAUAAAAACCACCUAUAAAUAAUAAAAUCCUUAUUUUCCUUUUUAGUAAAUACAUCUACACGUAUAUUAAUCCUACCGUACCAGGGCAGCAUGCAAUAACUAAAAUUGUAGUUUCAUUUUUUUUAUCAUACCAUUUUACUUUUAGUUAAUAACUUCCAAGUUUUUUCUUAUUAACCUAUACAAAAUCUAGCCUUUUCAACUGCCUCAUAUAAUGACAAACAAAUAUAAUAACAUUAGAAUGGAAGAGAAGUUGGUUUUUAAGCGACCUUAAAAAAAAUAGGGUUAUGGAUUCUAUGAUUAAUCAUGUUGAGUACACAUAUAAAUCCUGCUAACCUCAAUCAUAUAUUAUAAUUUUACAUAGAACACCCCUGAUCAUAUUUUGCAACUUUAAAAACUUUUAUCAAUAAAAAAGAAAAGUUGUUUAAUACCUUCUUACAUAAAUCCUUAACUGUUACUCUUUUAGUGAAAAAAAAAAGAAAAAUAAAAUAACAUUACAUGAAAAAUUAAGAGGAAUCAUCCCUGUUACUCUUUUAUUUUUUUUUAAAUCAAAUUUUAGUAAAAGACUAAACAUACAUGAAAACAACAUACACAAAUAUAUCAGCAUUACUGUAUGAGUUAAUGUCUCAACAAAAAAAAUCGUCCAUGUUACUCAUUUACUGGAAAAAAAAAGUUUGAAAAAAAAUUUAUUAUUUUUGUUAUUUUGGACCAAAAUACCCUUGUGUUUCAAACAUUCCAGAACUGCUUCAAUCUUAUUCAAAUUUUAUUAAAAGCAUUUCCGUAGUUAUACAAAAGGAUUCCAGUGUCUACAAUGAGUGAAAAAAUGUUACAAAACUGUCAAAUGGUUGUUUAUGGUAAUCUUGAUGGGGAUGAUAGUCAUGGGCAUUCACAUGGUUGUAUGUGGUAAUAGGUUGCUGAAUUUGAAAAAUCCCAUGAAUUUUGUUCUUACAAUAAAUUAGAAAACUAAAUUUUUUUUAUCUAUUUUUACUUAAUGAUUAAUUUAGAAAUAGACGGUUGUACAUAAUUAUCUUAUUUAGCAUGUAGUUUUAGUCAAGCAUGGACUCUUAUUUUCAUGUGUUUUUACGACCUUUUUGGAAGAUUUAUGCUUCUAGAUACCAAUUUCGUUUUUAAUGGGAGCAAGGACCUCAUUCUUUUGAAAGAUUUAGGCACCUCGAUGUCUGCUUCUUCUUUUCUUAGCUGGAAAUAAAAACAUUAAAAAAUGCAUGACAUAGAGGUUAGGCAAGAUAAAAUCAUAAUAUAUGCACGUCAGGUGAAAUACAAUCACCGAAACAACUUUUCAUAUAAUCCAAUCUAAAAGCAAAAAAUCCAUGCUAUUCACCAGUGUAUUUCCUCAUACAUAAUUUCUUAUCAAUCUUCUAAGUUGAUACUUCUAUUAACAAAAAAGGAUUAAGAAGAAACCCAACUGUCUUCUAAUCUGAAGAAGCCGACUAUGUCAUCAACACCAAACUACAAAAAGAUUACCCAAGCUUAUUGAAAACUAUAAAAAGAUUAAAAAGAAGGUGUUUAGUUGUAAGUAUGGAUAGCUAAAUCAUUAUUGAUCAGUUUCUUAGUUUCUUACCAACAACUUGUUUGAUUACACCUACAUGUAAAUGGAAGUCACUUCCUUUUUUAUAAUAAAAGAGGAAAAAAAGUGCUACUGACCUUUGGGGGAGUGAUGGGGUAGAAAACGAAAAGCCAAUUGACUGCUUUGAUAAUUGUAAAUAACAAUUAUGUGGAUGCCUUCUCUCUCAAGCAUUUUAUCAAACAUGUAAUAUGCAUCAUAAAGUCAUUGUAAAAGAUGACACUUCUGUAUAUGAUUUCUUCACCCAAACAACUUUUCAUAUAAUCUAAUCUGAAAGCAAAAAGACAGAAAAUGAAUGUGAUCCAUUAAAAAACACCCUUUAAAACCCCAAAUGAAAACAAUAUAAGACACAUGGGGAAGAGAAAAUGAUUGACCUGGACCUUGACAGUUUAGCGCAACAGAGUGUGACAACGGGAAUCAAACGUGCAAAACACAAUCUGUUCCUAACUGAAAUUCGAUGAAGGUGAAAGGUGAACUCCAUCUCUGUUAAUUGAUUCUUUAUCUCGGACUGAAAUCCUAACCAAGAUACGAAGACGAAGAUGAAGACAAUCGCGUGUCGUUAUCGAUCUAUAAUGGUGGUGGUGUUUGGAAGAACUCGUUGUGACUUAUCGCAGUCCCGACCAUCUGCUAAAUUUGCGAAUUGAAUCGGUGGUCACCGAUCAUAUCCAAAAGAUAGAAAGGUCAUAGCGAUUUGGAAAUCAAACAAAAUUGGAUUUAAAUGAUGAAGGUAUCUAGGUAAGGCGGUUGAUCGGUGGAGGGUCAAACUAACUCUUGUGGAGAGAACUAAUCUGAUUGAUAGUAUAUUCUAGUAUGAGAGAACGGGAAGAACCCGAUGAUAGAUAAGAUGAAGGCGGUGGGUUUUCUGAAUGGUUGAUAUUUGGAGAAAAAUAAUUGGUUGCAGUUGCGGUGAUAAAGUAACGUAACA